UCAACAAUUUAGAUAACAGAUUGAUCUCCUAAUAGGUCAUUAAACUUCCUUUGCAUUUUGAUGGUCAAAAAAAUCAUGAAAGCUAUACUCGACUUUCCCCUGAAUUUCCAGUUUGUCUAAUGGCUAAAGGAGAGAAAGCAGAAUCAGGAGUGGAUAAUACAGCUGGCCUUUCAGAGAAGGAAACACAGAAGAAUCCUCGUGCACCAAUGGAUGAGGCAGACGUUAAAUCCGCAGCACACUCUUCUCAGGGGAGCCUUCCUAAAAAAAUCGGUCCCUGUUCUAUGGACUAUGAUCCCAAUCUCUUAAAAGAAGACGAUGAACUACACUCUCAGGGAGAUAGCCUGAUGGAUCAUUCUGUGAAUGGAAAAUCAACUGUUUGGAGAAUUGGAGAAGCUGAAGAUUAUUCACAGGACAUAUCUUACUUGGAGGAACUGAAGGAACACCGAUUUUCUGUUUGGUUGCACAAUGACUCUUGGAUAUUAGAUGCUUUUCAGUGCAUCCACAGUGAAGAAACCAAGUUCUUCAUACCGUAUGACUUGGAGAUUUCCAAUCAGGAGCUAAGUUAUAUAGUGAAACGAUCUGAGCAAUGGAGAGGAAUCAAUGGUGAAAGAAGAAAGGUGAGUUGGUCUGAAGGAGCUUUGUUUUUUGGACUGCUCAAAAAACCCUCACUCUGCUGGUAUAUCAGCAAGUUGAUGUUUUUUGUGUUGUUCUUGAAGUUAUUUACUGUUGUUUUGGCCACCAUGAUACAAAUCCUUACUAUUGUAUAACUGCCAUUUGACCUGAUUCUUUCUUACCUCUUCAGCCUCAUGUCCUGUAUCCUCAUCCAUCCGACCACUUCCCAGCCAGCAUACUUCUUGCCACAAUAUGAUUAAGCUAUAUAAAAAUAUGAGCAGUUCACUACACAUGCCAUACUGUUUCUCGCGUCCACGCAUUCCUCUCUGUUUGGAGCAAUAUCCUCCCAAUUUCUCAUGUAGUAUUUGGUAAACUAAUCAUUCUUCCAGGGCUCAGCUUGAG
This 1014-nucleotide long non-coding RNA is filed under the name Pan paniscus (pygmy chimpanzee). RNAcentral describes it as "lncRNA (ENSPPAG00000044761.1)". Lineage: Eukaryota; Metazoa; Chordata; Mammalia; Primates; Hominidae. The record is from RNAcentral.